RNAcentral lists this ribosomal RNA (441 nucleotides) under uncultured bacterium. RNAcentral's name for it is "partial 16S ribosomal RNA". It matches the Rfam family "Bacterial small subunit ribosomal RNA", at positions 338 to 795 of the family's 1533-position model. The record is from RNAcentral.
CCUACGGGUGGCAGCAGUGGGGGAUAUUGCACAAUGGGGGAAACCCUGAUGCAGCGACGCCGCGUGAGUGAAGAAGUAUUUCUGUAUGUAAAGCUCUAUCAGCAGGGAAGAAAAAAGACGGUACCUGACUAAGAAGCGCCGGCUAACUACGUGCCAGCAGCCGCGGUAAUACGUAGGGGGCAAGCGUUAUCCGGAUUUACUGGGUGUAAAGGGAGCGUAGACGGCAAUACAAGUCGGAAGUGAAAUACCCGGGCUCAACCUGGGAACUGCUUUGGAAACUGUAUGGCUAGAGUGCUGGAGAGGUAAGCGGAAUUCCUAGUGUAGCGGUGAAAUGCGUAGAUAUUAGGAGGAACACCAGUGGCGAAGGCGGCUUACUGGACAGUAACUGACGUUGAGGCUCGAAAGCGUGGGGAGCAAACAGGAUUAGAUACCCGGGUAGUC